UCCCUUAGUAACUGCGAGUGAAGAGGGAAAAGCUCAAAUUUAAAAUCUGGCAGUGCUUUGCUGUCCGAGUUGUAACCUAGAGAAGUGUAGCCUGUGCUGGACUGUGUACAAGUCUCCUGGAAUGGAGCAUCACAGAGGGUGAGAAUCCCGUCUUUGACAUGGACUGCCAGUACACCAUGGUUGUGCUCUCAACGAGUCGAGUUGUUUGGGAAUGCAGCUCUAAAUGGGUGGUAAAUUCCAUCUAAAGCUAAAUAUUGGCGAGAGACCGAUAGUGAACAAGUACCGUGAGGGAAAGAUGAAAAGAACUUUGGAAAGAGAGUUAAACAGUAUGUGAAAUUGUUGAAAGGGAAACGUUUGAAGUCAGUCUUGUUGGUUGGGGAUCAGUCCAACUUUGUUGGGUGUACUUCCUGACUGACAGGCCAACAUCAGUUUUGACCGUCAGAAAAAGGUGAACGGAAUGUGGCACCUUUGGGUGUGUUAUAGCUUUUCAUCAUAUAUGGCAGUUGGGACUGAGGAAUGCAGUGUGCCAAAAGGCUGGGUUUUUGACCACAUUCACACUGAGGAUGUUGGCAUAAUGGCUUUAAGCGACCCGUCUUGAAACACGGACCAAGGAGUCUAACAUGCAUGCGAGUGUUUGGGUGGAAAACCCUUACGCGUAAUGAAAGUGAAAGUUGAGAUCCCUGUCAUUGGGGAGCAUCGACGCCUGGACCAGAACUUUUGGGA
RNAcentral lists this ribosomal RNA (723 nucleotides) under Amanita sp. RNAcentral describes it as "LSU rRNA". It matches the Rfam family "Eukaryotic large subunit ribosomal RNA", at positions 76 to 784 of the family's 3401-position model. The record is from RNAcentral. Lineage: Eukaryota; Fungi; Basidiomycota; Agaricomycetes; Agaricales; Amanitaceae.